AUUAGUCUGGGAAAGUCUCGACGCUUCGCAACCAGGCUUACGGGAACAGUGAAUAACAUUUUUUAUUAGUCUGGGAAAGUCUCGACGCUUUGCAACCAGGCUUACGGGAACAGUGACGUGGGCCUUGAAGUGGGGGUCGACCCCUGCGUGUGGAGGAGGUGGUAACGCCUCCUCCUCGUGGGUAAGGUUUGUGCUACCUUAUUUUUAUCUUUUUCUGUCUUUUCAUUGCCUUAGGGUUUGGUUUUUUCUCGUUCUCGGCUCUGUGUCUUUCCCAUCUAUGCGCAUGUGCGGGAUUAAUUAUGAGACACCAUGGGUGACUCAUCUAGAGGAUAGAGAAACAACUCACAGUGUCCAGAUGAAUUAAUGGAGGUCGCAGGUAAUAUUAGCCCUAAGUCGUUUAAAGAUGCCCUCGCCGACGAAGUUUUCUCUGUUCCAACCGACGCAUUUUUUGAUUCGGUGAGUGAUUCUGGGUCUGGUUUUGAUGGCGGAAAGGAAGGACGAGCUAUGGAUGUCGAAAAAUGCCCGACCUGCAGAUUUCUUGAUGAUUGGACUAUGAAUAUUUGGAUUAAAAAACUAGGGUAUCAUGUCUCUUUUUGUCGUAUGUUGCAAAAAGGGUUGUUUGUUAUUUUCUUUCAGGGAUGCAAAAUCCUAAUCUACUGUUGUGCAUAAGCAAUUCUGGACUAUAGGGAGAUGUACUUUCAGGGCCUUUAAUUGGACUCGCGAUGCAGUCAAUGAGGAAAUUUUGGCACUCUUGUUCCUUA
Molecule: long non-coding RNA, 761 nt
Organism: Cryptomeria japonica (Japanese cedar)
Lineage: Eukaryota; Viridiplantae; Streptophyta; Pinopsida; Cupressales; Cupressaceae
Exons: 2
Source: RefSeq, a predicted model, not a curated record